RNAcentral lists this small nucleolar RNA (217 nucleotides) under Dactylellina haptotyla CBS 200.50. Lineage: Eukaryota; Fungi; Ascomycota; Orbiliomycetes; Orbiliales; Orbiliaceae. The record is from RNAcentral.
ACGUCUUGUGCCUCGCUCGAUUCGCUCCCUUUCGCUGGACUAAUCUUGAGCUGGAUGCCCUCGGACUUUCACUCGCUUCGGAUUCGUCCGUAUGCUCUAAAAGACCGCACGGGUAAUAGACAAUAUAAAUCUUCAUCGUAUCAACGCUCUUUGAGUACGCUCUCAAUUCUAUAUUUCGCUUCCAUGAUUGAACAGCGUAAUUUAUCUGUUGACACAG